RNAcentral lists this ribosomal RNA (468 nucleotides) under uncultured Lactobacillus sp. RNAcentral describes it as "bacterial SSU rRNA". It matches the Rfam family "Bacterial small subunit ribosomal RNA", at positions 74 to 525 of the family's 1533-position model. The record is from RNAcentral. Lineage: Bacteria; Bacillati; Bacillota; Bacilli; Lactobacillales; Lactobacillaceae.
UGAAACAAGAUACAGGCUAGCGGCGGACGGGUGAGUUAACACGUGGGUAACCCUGCCCCAAAGAGAUCGGGAUAACACCUGGAAACAGAUGCUAAUACCGGAUAACAACAGAUGAUGCCUAUCAACUGUUUUAAAAAGAUGGUUCUGCUAUCACUCUUGGAUGGACCUGCGGUGCAUUAGCUAGUUGGUAGGGUAACGGCCUACCAAGGCGAUGAUGCAUAGCCGAGUUGAGAGACUGAUCGGCCACGUUGGGACUGAGACACGGCCCAAACUCCUACGGGAGGCAGCAGUAGGGAAUCUUCCACAAUGGACGCAAGUCUGAUGGAGCAACGCCGCGUGAGUGAAGAAGGGUUUCGGCUCGUAAAGCUCUGUUGUUGGUGAAGAAGGACAGGGGUAGUAACUGACCUUUGUUUGACGGUAAUCAAUUAGAAAGUCACGGCUAACUACGUGCCAGCAGCCGCGGUAAAU